UCAUCUCCGGGGGUAGAGCACUGUUUCGGCAAGGGGGUCAUCCCGACUUACCAACCCGAUGCAAACUGCGAAUACCGGAGAAUGUUAUCACGGGAGACACACGGCGGGUGCUAACGUCCGUCGUGAAGAGGGAAACAACCCAGACCGCCAGCUAAGGUCCCAAAGUCAUGGUUAAGUGGGAAACGAUGUGGGAAGGCCCAGACAGCCAGGAUGUUGGCUUAGAAGCAGCCAUCAUUUAAAGAAAGCGUAAUAGCUCACUGGUCGAGUCGGCCUGCGCGGAAGAUGUAACGGGGCUAAACCAUGCACCGAAGCUGCGGCAGCGACNNNNNNNNNNNNNNNNNNNNNNNNNNNNNNNNNNNNNNNNNNNNNNNNNNNNNNNNNAUGCUGGAGGUAUCAGAAGUGCGAAUGCUGACAUAAGUAACGAUAAAGCGGGUGAAAAGCCCGCUCGCCGGAAGACCAAGGGUUCCUGUCCAACGUUAAUCGGGGCAGGGUGAGUCGACCCCUAAGGCGAGGCCGAAAGGCGUAGUCGAUGGGAAACAGGUUAAUAUUCCUGUACUUGGUGUUACUGCGAAGGGGGGACGGAGAAGGCUAUGUUGGCCGGGCGACGGUUGUCCCGGUUUAAGCGUGUAGGCUGGUUUUCCAGGCAAAUCCGGAAAAUCAAGGCUGAGGCGUGAUGACGAGGCACUACGGUGCUGAAGCAACAAAUGCCCUGCUUCCAGGAAAAGCCUCUAAGCAUCAGGUAACAUCAAAUCGUACCCCAAACCGACACAGGUGGUCAGGUAGAGAAUACCAAGGCGCUUGAGAGAACUCGGGUGAAGGAACUAGGCAAAAUGGUGCCGUAACUUCGGGAGAAGGCACGCUGAUAUGUAGGUGAGGUCCCUCGCGGAUGGAGCUGAAAUCAGUCGAAGAUACCAGCUGGCUGCAACUGUUUAUUAAAAACACAGCACUGUGCAAACACGAAAGUGGACGUAUACGGUGUGACGCCUGCCCGGUGCCGGAAGGUUAAUUGAUGGGGUUAGCGGUAACGCGAAGCUCUUGAUCGAAGCCCCGGUAAACGGCGGCCGUAACUAUAACGGUCCUAAGGUAGCGAAAUUCCUUGUCGGGUAAGUUCCGACCUGCACGAAUGGCGUAAUGAUGGCCAGGCUGUCUCCACCCGAGACUCAGUGAAAUUGAACUCGCUGUGAAGAUGCAGUGUACCCGCGGCAAGACGGAAAGACCCCGUGAACCUUUACUAUAGCUUGACACUGAACAUUGAGCCUUGAUGUGUAGGAUAGGUGGGAGGCUUUGAAGUGUGGACGCCAGUCUGCAUGGAGCCGACCUUGAAAUACCACCCUUUAAUGUUUGAUGUUCUAACGUUGACCCGUAAUCCGGGUUGCGGACAGUGUCUGGUGGGUAGUUUGACUGGGGCGGUCUCCUCCUAAAGAGUAACGGAGGAGCACGAAGGUUGGCUAAUCCUGGUCGGACAUCAGGAGGUUAGUGCAAUGGCAUAAGCCAGCUUGACUGCGAGCGUGACGGCGCGAGCAGGUGCGAAAGCAGGUCAUAGUGAUCCGGUGGUUCUGAAUGGAAGGGCCAUCGCUCAACGGAUAAAAGGUACUCCGGGGAUAACAGGCUGAUACCGCCCAAGAGUUCAUAUCGACGGCGGUGUUUGGCACCUCGAUGUCGGCUCAUCACAUCCUGGGGCUGAAGUAGGUCCCAAGGGUAUGGCUGUUCGCCAUUUAAAGUGGUACGCGAGCUGGGUUUAGAACGUCGUGAGACAGUUCGGUCCCUAUCUGCCGUGGGCGCUGGAGAACUGAGGGGGGCUGCUCCUAGUACGAGAGGACCGGAGUGGA
RNAcentral lists this ribosomal RNA (1829 nucleotides) under Escherichia coli. RNAcentral's name for it is "23S ribosomal RNA". It matches the Rfam family "Bacterial large subunit ribosomal RNA", at positions 890 to 2701 of the family's 2925-position model. Lineage: Bacteria; Pseudomonadati; Pseudomonadota; Gammaproteobacteria; Enterobacterales; Enterobacteriaceae. The record is from RNAcentral.